GGGCCCGUGGUCUAGCCUGGUUAUGACGUCGCCCUCACGCGGCGAAGGUCCGGGGUUCGAAGCCCCGCGGGCCCA
Molecule: non-coding RNA, 75 nt
Organism: Thermococcus celer
Lineage: Archaea; Methanobacteriati; Methanobacteriota; Thermococci; Thermococcales; Thermococcaceae
Source: Rfam